Molecule: ribosomal RNA, 497 nt
Filed under: uncultured bacterium
Lineage: Bacteria
Description: partial 16S ribosomal RNA
Rfam family: Bacterial small subunit ribosomal RNA
Source: RNAcentral
GAUGUACGCUGGCGGCGUGCCUAAUACAUGCAAGUCGAGCGAACAGAUGAGGAGCUUGCUCCUCUGACGUUAGCGGCGGACGGGUGAGUAUCACGUGGAUAACCUACCUAUAAGACUGGGAUAACUUCGGGAAACCGGAGCUAAUACCGGAUAAUAUAUUGAACCGCAUGGUUCAAUAGUGAAAGACGGUUUUGCUGUCACUUAUAGAUGGAUCCGCGCCGCAUUAGCUAGUUGGUAAGGUAACGGCUUACCAAGGCGACGAUGCGUAGCCGACCUGAGAGGGUGAUCGGCCACACUGGAACUGAGACACGGUCCAGACUCCUACGGGAGGCAGCAGUAGGGAAUCUUCCGCAAGGGGCGAAAGCCUGACGGAGCAACGCCGCGUGAGUGAUGAAGGUCUUCGGAUCGUAAAACUCUGUUAUUAGGGAAGAACAAAUGUGUAAGUAACUAUGCACGUCUUGACGGUACCUAAUCAGAAAGCCACGGCUAACUACGUG